UACGGAGGGUGCAAGCGUUAUCCGGAUUCACUGGGUUUAAAGGGUGCGUAGGUGGGUCUGUAGGUCAGUGGUGAAAUCUCCGGGCUUAACCCGGAAACUGCCAUUGAUACUAUAGGUCUUGAAUAUCCUGGAGGUGAGCGGAAUAUGUCAUGUAGCGGUGAAAUGCUUAGAUAUGACAUAGAACACCAAUUGCGAAGGCAGCUCACUACGGGAUUAUUGACACUGAGGCACGAAAGCGUGGGGAUCAAACAGG
This 253-nucleotide ribosomal RNA is filed under the name uncultured bacterium. RNAcentral describes it as "partial 16S ribosomal RNA". It matches the Rfam family "Bacterial small subunit ribosomal RNA", at positions 524 to 776 of the family's 1533-position model. The record is from RNAcentral.